GGGAUGUUGCGAAGACUGAAACGCGGUGCUACACGAUGAAACAGAACCACCUACGGCUCAUAACCGCUUGGUUGGGGGUUCGAGUCCCUCCGGGCCCACCA
Molecule: transfer RNA, 101 nt
Filed under: Rhizobium ruizarguesonis
Lineage: Bacteria; Pseudomonadati; Pseudomonadota; Alphaproteobacteria; Hyphomicrobiales; Rhizobiaceae
Description: tRNA-Met
Source: RNAcentral